This 203-nucleotide long non-coding RNA is filed under the name Olea europaea (common olive). RNAcentral's name for it is "long non-coding RNA (OEUR_LNC006529)". The record is from RNAcentral. Lineage: Eukaryota; Viridiplantae; Streptophyta; Magnoliopsida; Lamiales; Oleaceae.
GCCUUACAGUUCUCCGUGGUAUGCCCAUGAUCCCGAUGGAACUCACAGUACUUGUUCAUGUCCCUGGAUUCGGAUGGUGACCUCAUUCUGACAGGCCAUUUCAGUUCCUUCAUAUCCUUGAUCUCCAUUAAUAUAUUGGUCUUUGACGUAUUUAAACGCGUGAACGGCGUCGGGGGAACCUCCUGUCUCUGUUUUUUCCGAUG